AAUGGGCGCAAGCCUGAUGCAGCAACGCCGCGUGCGCGAAGAAGGCCUUCGGGUCGUAAAGCGCUUUUCGGGGAGAAGAGGAAGGACGGUAUCCCCGGAAUAAGGCUCGGCUAACUACGUGCCAGCAGCCGCGGUAAAACGUAGGAGCCAAGCGUUAUCCGAAUUCACUGGGCGUAAAGCGCGUGCAGGCGGAACUGUAAGUUGGAUGUAAAAUCUCCCGGCUCAACUGGGAGAGGCCGUUCAAUACUGCAGGUCUAGAGGGCGACAGAGGGAGGUGGAAUUCCGGGUGUAGUGGUGAAAUGCGUAGAUAUCCGGAGGAACACCAGAGGCGAAGGCGACCUCCUGGGUCGCACCUGACGCUGAGAUGCGAAAGCUAGGGGAGCGAACGGGAUUAGAAACCCCGGUAGUCCUAGCCGUAAACGAUGUAGACUGGGUGCAGGCGGGGUAAAAGCCGUCUGCGCCGAAGCCAACGCGAUAAGUCUACCGCCUGGGGACUACGGCCGCAAGGUUA
RNAcentral lists this ribosomal RNA (511 nucleotides) under uncultured Chloroflexota bacterium. RNAcentral's name for it is "bacterial SSU rRNA". It matches the Rfam family "Bacterial small subunit ribosomal RNA", at positions 370 to 896 of the family's 1533-position model. Lineage: Bacteria; Bacillati; Chloroflexota. The record is from RNAcentral.